UUUGAUGUGAAACUAAUCAAUGUAAAUCGAACUUCCAAAGUUACAAAAGAUGAUGCUCCUUUCUCUUUUAUUUGGGUUCUUUCUUAGGAAUAAAAUUCAUUUCUCUAUUGUAUGUGAUCUUUCUCUUCACUUCCUGUUUCAAGGAGGACAAGUGGUCAAGUACACUGCCAUGUUAGCUUGUGGCAACUAUCAUGGAGUUGUGGGCUUUGCAAAAGGAAAAGGCCCAGCAAUUCCCAUUACCCUCCAGAAGCAAAAGAGUGACUAUUUUACCUCCAUUUGUUGCCAUUCUGAGACGCUGGCGGCCACUUUUGGCAGGUAUUCAUGAGCUUACUUCUUCAGAUGAUCUGAAUCCCCUCGUUGUUGAUGACCGUGCUUUGGUAGUAAAUGUGCUGCCUCUUGUGGUUGCGGAGGGUGUAAAAACAGCUGGUGCUUCACGUAUAAUUGGUGUAGAUAACGACAAUAAGAAUUUUGAUGUUGAUUUCAUGGAUUGAUGGAGAGAAAAUGGCAUAACAGGACACAUGUGCCAAUUUGACACAUUAGUAUGGGAUCCAGGACGUUCAUCAGAUGAGAAAAAAACAAAAGUCGGGUCCACAAUGCAGAUCAAAGUACACAACAUUGCAAUGUUUUGGAUGUUGGUCUAUGCACCUCCACCUGUUUUGGCUUUGAUACACAUACUCAUGGGUAGUAUAGGUGCAUGCUGGAUGACUUGGAUUAGUUGGGCUUGGAUGGCUGGAGAUUUGUGGUUUGAGGGUCGUGAGCGCAUUCGUCACACAUGAGACCUGCUCUUACAACUUAAGGAGGUAUGUUGUUGUUUGUUGCAAAAACGAUUUCUUUGCUUGCAUGCUUCUGACAUUGAGUUUUUUUUAUGAGGCUUGUGUGCUUUUGAGUUAUGUUUUUGUUUGUUGCAAACGAUUUCUUUGCUUGCAUCCUUCUGAGAUUGUAUUUCUUAUGAGGCUUUGCUAAGAUAUGAUUCACCGGUGUUGUUUGUUGUGGUGAGAGACGAAUGUGUGCUGUAGAAACUAAGACAUCUGGUUUGGUGGGAGGAGAAACAAUAAGCAAGACAUGGGAGAACCUUAUGGAAAAUUGCAUGGAAAUGAAGGAACUUGUUUCUGGUUCAUAUUUGCGGGAGAUGUGUUUCCCUUUUUGCUUUCUCUACCUUUGAAUUUCUCUCACAAUCACAUGUUCAGGAACUGAAAUAAAUUCAUUUACCAUUCAUUCGAAAUCUGUGUGAGGCUAUGAGCGCUAAAUUCGUUUGUAAAAUCCAUGAUAAUUUUUUCAGUGGAAAUGUUUGAAAGCUUCUA
RNA transcript from Magnolia sinica, 1301 nucleotides. It is a transcript of the gene named BEACH domain-containing protein C1-like, with no coding region annotated. NCBI's taxonomy places the organism in Eukaryota, Viridiplantae, Streptophyta, Magnoliopsida, Magnoliales, Magnoliaceae. The record is from RefSeq and is a predicted model, not a curated record. The transcript has 5 exons.